AGAAAGACUAUUAUAACUUUGAGAACUACAGAGCGACACUCUAUCUCAGUAAAGCAAAAACUACAAAAGAAAGCCCCAGUGUCUUCUGCAGCAACAUUCCUGUGUGAGGCUCACCCAGGCUUGGGAACAUUUGAGAGCUGUCUCAAGAACAGAGUGAUGUCUGGAGAGUAAUACUGGAAGCUCGCUUGGUCUGGAUGUCAUUGAGAAUCUACUGCAGUUCCUCAUUUUCAAGAAACCCUCCCAGACUUGGAAUCAGAGCUUUGGACUCUUCAGCAGUCUCUGGGCAAAGAUUUGCUAAACAGGCCAACUCAAACUUUAUGCAGCCUUUUCUGGAGAAGCAAGUGACGAACACUGGCAAUGGUCUCUCUGAAACGGGCGUAUAGUUUAGGGUUUUCAUGACGACCUCUGAAAGCUCCUGCUCAUUCUCUGCACUCUCAUUCUGCUGCCUUCGACGCUCCAGAAGCAGGAGCACUUCAGAGUUUAGGAGAGUCUCUGUUGUUUCAAACUCUUUGGCAAAGACGAGCCGGGACACAUCUUCUACAUUGCCAGCCUGCUCAUUGCUUCUACCUGCCACCAUUGUAUAGGAUGGACCGCCACCCGUUCUCGCUCCUUUUAAAAGUUACUUUUGCAUCUGUUCUUUGCUGAUCUUAAUUCCAGUGGAGAAGGUAUGUCUCAGAUGUACCUCAGAAGCUGAGGAGUCAGCCAUGGCAGAAGGAAAAGGGUUAAGCAAAGUGGUCACUUCUGCAUAAACAUUCAAUUUGAGCAGGCUCACCAAGACUAGACUAUGAUUGGGAGAAGGACAGCCGGAGUCUCAUCCUAAGAAGACCAGGCCUCCCUCAACGCCUUCUAGUCUUGCCUCUGGUUUCUAAGGAUGUUGGUUUGGACCUUAUGAGAGUGGAUAAAACUGAGUCUGAGU
This 916-nucleotide long non-coding RNA is filed under the name Mus musculus (house mouse). Its description in RNAcentral is "long non-coding RNA chr5:38574852-38575768". Lineage: Eukaryota; Metazoa; Chordata; Mammalia; Rodentia; Muridae. The record is from RNAcentral.